RNAcentral lists this ribosomal RNA (440 nucleotides) under uncultured bacterium. Its description in RNAcentral is "bacterial SSU rRNA". It matches the Rfam family "Bacterial small subunit ribosomal RNA", at positions 343 to 797 of the family's 1533-position model. The record is from RNAcentral.
UGGAGGCAGCAGUGAGGAAUUUUGCGCAAUGGGCGAAAGCCUGACGCAGCAACGCCGCGUGGAGGAUGAAGGCCUUCGGGUCGUAAACUCCUGUCAGGGGGGACGAAAAAAAUGACUGUACCCCCUGAGGAAGCCACGGCUAACUCCGUGCCAGCAGCCGCGGUAAUACGGAGGUGGCAAGCGUUGUUCGGAAUUACUGGGCGUAAAGGGCGCGUAGGCGGCUUGGCAAGUCAGAUGUGAAAGCCCCGGGCUUAACUCGGGAAUUGCAUCUGAAACUGCUUUGCUUGAGUCCUGGAGGGGGUAGUGGAAUUCCCAGUGUAGCGGUGAAAUGCGUAGAUAUUGGGAGGAACACCUGUGGCGAAGGCGGCUACCUGGACAGUGACUGACGCUGAUGCGCGAAAGCUAGGGGAGCAAACGGGAUUAGAAACCCUUGUAGUCCU